UGAGUAACGCGUGGGAAUCUACCUUUUGCUACGGAAUAACGCAGGGAAACUUGUGCUAAUACCGUAUGUGUCCUUCGGGAGAAAGAUUUAUCGGCAAGAGAUGAGCCCGCGUUGGAUUAGCUAGUUGGUGGGGUAAAGGCCUACCAAGGCGACGAUCCAUAGCUGGUCUGAGAGGAUGAUCAGCCACAUUGGGACUGAGACACGGCCCAAACUCCUACGGGAGGCAGCAGUGGGGAAUAUUGGACAAUGGGCGCAAGCCUGAUCCAGCCAUGCCGCGUGAGUGAUGAAGGCCCUAGGGUUGUAAAGCUCUUUCACCGGAGAAGAUAAUGACGGUAUCCGGAGAAGAAGCCCCGGCUAACUUCGUGCCAGCAGCCGCGGUAAUACGAAGGGGGCUAGCGUUGUUCGGAAUUACUGGGCGUAAAGCGCACGUAGGCGGAUCGAUCAGUCAGGGGUGAAAUCCCAGGGCUCAACCCUGGAACUGCCUUUGAUACUGUCGAUCUGGAGUAUGGAAGAGGUGAGUGGAAUUCCGAGUGUAGAGGUGAAAUUCGUAGAUAUUCGGAGGACACCAGUGGCGAAGGCGGCUCACUGGUCCAUUACUGACGCUGAGUGCGAAGCGUGGGGGAGCAAACAGGAUAGAUACCCUGUAGUCCACGCCGUAACGAUGAUGUAGCCGUCGGGCAGUAUACUGUCGGUGGCGCAGCUAC
Molecule: ribosomal RNA, 704 nt
Filed under: Rhizobium sp.
Lineage: Bacteria; Pseudomonadati; Pseudomonadota; Alphaproteobacteria; Hyphomicrobiales; Rhizobiaceae
Description: bacterial SSU rRNA
Rfam family: Bacterial small subunit ribosomal RNA
Source: RNAcentral